This 602-nucleotide ribosomal RNA is filed under the name uncultured Arcobacter sp. RNAcentral describes it as "bacterial SSU rRNA". It matches the Rfam family "Bacterial small subunit ribosomal RNA", at positions 68 to 687 of the family's 1533-position model. Lineage: Bacteria; Pseudomonadati; Campylobacterota; Epsilonproteobacteria; Campylobacterales; Arcobacteraceae. The record is from RNAcentral.
GAGAUUAGCUUGCUAAAGUUGUCAGCUAAGUGGCGCACGGGUGAGUAAUGUAUAGAUAACCUGCCCUUAAGAAAGGAAUAACAGUUGGAAACGACUGCUAAUGCCCUAUAUGCCUUUAAUACAUAAGUAUGCAAGGGAAACGCUUUAGUGCUUAAGGAUGGGUCUGUAUGGUAUCAGCUUGUUGGUGAGGUAAUGGCUCACCAAGGCUAUGACGCCUAACUGGUUUGAGAGGAUGAUCAGUCACACUGGAACUGAGACACGGUCCAGACUCCUACGGGAGGCAGCAGUGGGGAAUAUUGCACAAUGGACGAAAGUCUGAUGCAGCAACGCCGCGUGGAGGAUGACACAUUUCGGUGCGUAAACUCCUUUUAUAUAGGAAGAUAAUGACGGUACUAUAUGAAUAAGCACCGGCUAACUCCGUGCCAGCAGCCGCGGUAAUACGGAGGGUGCAAGCGUUACUCGGAAUCACUGGGCGUAAAGAGCGUGUAGGCGGGUAUAUAAGUCAGAAGUGAAAUCCUAUAGCUUAACUAUAGAACUGCUUUUGAAACUGUAUACCUAGAAUGUGGGAGAGGUAGAUGGAAUUUCUGGUGUAGGGGUAAAAU